This 433-nucleotide ribosomal RNA is filed under the name uncultured bacterium. RNAcentral describes it as "partial 16S ribosomal RNA". It matches the Rfam family "Bacterial small subunit ribosomal RNA", at positions 29 to 507 of the family's 1533-position model. The record is from RNAcentral.
AGCGAACGCUGGCGGCAGGCCUAACACAUGCAAGUCGAACGAACUCUUCGGAGUUAGUGGCGGACGGGUGAGUAACACGUGGGAACGUGCCUUUAGGUUCGGAAUAACUCAGGGAAACUUGUGCUAAUACCGAAUGUGCCCUUCGGGGGAAAGAUUUAUCGCCUUUAGAGCGGCCCGCGUCUGAUUAGCUAGUUGGUGAGGUAAAGGCUCACCAAGGCGACGAUCAGUAGCUGGUCUGAGAGGAUGAUCAGCCACAUUGGGACUGAGACACGGCCCAAACUCCUACGGGAGGCAGCAGUGGGGAAUCUUGCGCAAUGGGCGAAAGCCUGACGCAGCCAUGCCGCGUGAAUGAUGAAGGUCUUAGGAUUGUAAAAUUCUUUCACCGGGGACGAUAAUGACGGUGCCCGGAGAAGAAGCCCCGGCUAACUUCGUG